RNAcentral lists this long non-coding RNA (488 nucleotides) under Homo sapiens (human). RNAcentral's name for it is "HSALNT0026898". The record is from RNAcentral. Lineage: Eukaryota; Metazoa; Chordata; Mammalia; Primates; Hominidae.
UGGUUCCCACUUAGCACCCUGAUUUAAGAGAACUCCUAAGUUAAGCUAAAAAGGGAUGUGUUGCUGAUGACUCCAUCAUAACCUGCUUCUCUGGGUUUUGGUUACAGAAUCACUAAUUGAAAGAUAUCGCAAAACUUUAACCUCUUUAUCCUCAUUCUAUAGACCAUUCCUCCACAAGUGCAUAUCACUAUUCCUCAUGCCAGUGUGGAGUUUCGGAAUAGACUCUCUGUUACCCUGCUGGCUUUGUUGCUUUGGGAAAAAUACUUUCUAGAACUUACACAGUUGUAAAAUGGAAGGAGAAGAAAACACAUUUUGGAGGGACAUCAUUAUGUGAGUCAAAGUCAAAUUCAUUGACACACACAUGAAAUCUUAAUGUCUUUGCCAUUAACUAACUUGGAGAUACUACUUGGUUAAAUUCUUAAAGUUGAGUUUUCUAUCACUGUUUAUCUCAUUUAUGUUUAUAACAGAGUCAUUCCCGUAUUUCUUUG